Molecule: ribosomal RNA, 461 nt
Filed under: uncultured bacterium
Lineage: Bacteria
Description: bacterial SSU rRNA
Rfam family: Bacterial small subunit ribosomal RNA
Source: RNAcentral
UGGAGGCAGCAGUAAGGAAUCUUGCGCAAUGGGCGAAAGCCUGACGCAGCGACGCCGCGUGCGGGAAGAAGGCCUUCGGGUUGUAAACCGCUUUCAGGAGGGACGAAGCCACUCGGGUGAACAGCCCAGAGGGUGACGGUACCUCCGGAAGAAGCCCCGGCUAACUACGUGCCAGCAGCCGCGGUAAUACGUAGGGGGCAAGCGUUGUCCGGAUUCAUUGGGCGUAAAGAGCGUGUAGGCGGCCAGGUAGGUCGGUUGUGAAAACUGGAGGCUCAACCUUCAGACGUCGACCGAAACCAUCUGGCUAGAGUCCGGGAGAGGAGAGUGGAAUUCCUGGUGUAGCGGUGAAAUGCGCAGAUAUCAGGAAGAACACCCGUGGCGAAAGCGGCUCUCUGGAACGGUACUGACGCUGAGACGCGAAAGCGUGGGGAGCGAACAGGAUUAGAUACCCCCGUAGUCCC